This 292-nucleotide ribosomal RNA is filed under the name uncultured Bacteroides sp. RNAcentral's name for it is "partial 16S ribosomal RNA". It matches the Rfam family "Bacterial small subunit ribosomal RNA", at positions 55 to 339 of the family's 1533-position model. The record is from RNAcentral. Lineage: Bacteria; Pseudomonadati; Bacteroidota; Bacteroidia; Bacteroidales; Bacteroidaceae.
AUGCAAGUCGAGGGGUAUCAGUUUGGUUUGCUUGCAAACCAAAGCUGGCGACCGGCGCACGGGUGAGUAACACGUAUCCAACCUGCCUCAUACUCGGGGAUAGCCUUUCGAAAGAAAGAUUAAUAUCCGAUAGCAUAUAUUUCCCGCAUGGGUUUUAUAUUAAAGAAAUUCGGUAUGAGAUGGGGAUGCGUUCCAUUAGUUUGUUGGGGGGUAACGGCCCACCAAGACUACGAUGGAUAGGGGUUCUGAGAGGAAGGUCCCCACAUUGGAACUGAGACACGGUCCAAACUCC